AAAACUUUCAACAACGGAUCUCUUGGUUCUGGCAUCGAUGAAGAACGCAGCGAAAUGCGACAAGUAAUGUGAAUUGCAGAAUUCAGUGAAUCAUCGAAUCUUUGAACGCACAUUGCGCCC
This 120-nucleotide ribosomal RNA is filed under the name Athallia scopularis. RNAcentral's name for it is "5.8S ribosomal RNA". It matches the Rfam family "5.8S ribosomal RNA", at positions 1 to 118 of the family's 154-position model. Rfam says of the family: 5.8S ribosomal RNA (5.8S rRNA) is a component of the large subunit of the eukaryotic ribosome. It is transcribed by RNA polymerase I as part of the 45S precursor that also contains 18S and 28S rRNA. The record is from RNAcentral. Lineage: Eukaryota; Fungi; Ascomycota; Lecanoromycetes; Teloschistales; Teloschistaceae.